GAGAAGCAUAAAAAGAUGGAAGACUAUAGAUGAAGAAUAUUAAAUAAUCUUCCACAUUUAGCCAUUGUGUUGGGGAAAGUACAGUCAUUUAAUAAAAUAGAAGAAUUCCAAGCAUUUGUAAAGAAAAGACCAGACCUGAACAGAAAAUUUGAUGCCCAAACACAGAGCCCAAGAGAAUCAUUAAAAGGUACUGGACAAUACAGCAAUGAUCCCAAUCCUUAUAGUAUAACAGAAGAUAAAAUAUUGGGAAUAAUGACAUAAUAGAACAUGAUAAAAGAAUAGAUGAACAACAUUUUAUGAAUAAAAAUCUAAGGAAAAAAAGAUCA
RNAcentral lists this long non-coding RNA (326 nucleotides) under Monodelphis domestica (gray short-tailed opossum). Its description in RNAcentral is "lncRNA (ENSMODG00000037834.1)". Lineage: Eukaryota; Metazoa; Chordata; Mammalia; Didelphimorphia; Didelphidae. The record is from RNAcentral.